GGGCCGCCGCCUGCCGCGGCCUGGGCGCGGGGGUCGCUGGAAGGGGCGAGACCCGGCGCCCGUGGCCGCUUUGUCUGUCCGCGUGGCCGGAACCGCGCGAGCGUUUGGGAGCUGGUGCGGCGCUGCAGGGCCUGGAGGAGGUAGUCUGCGCUGGUGGUAGUCAAAAACUCAGAGAUGGGACUUCAGUGUUACCAACUAAAGCUCCACUUGGAAGCAAGAGAUUUGCAGGAGCACAAAGGAGAAUUACAUCAAUAACUGCUCAAGUACUGUCAGACAGCACUGCUUGCUGUUUUCCCUGUGUGGAAAUCACUUGCAUGAGAAAACAAAAUUCAGGAUGGUCAAUUAUCAGAGUUCUGGCUACAACUCCACUCUCCGAGAUAGCCCUAUGGAACAGUCCCUGUUCCAGAGGAGGCAGGACCUGAGAAGCAGGAAUGACUAUCCAGUAAUGGUGACAGAGCCUGGAUCACCUCCAAAAUUUAUGAUGUUUUCCUGUACCCAUAGAGGGGCUGCCAAUUGAUCCAAAUAUCCUGUUUCCGUGGGCAUCUACAUCACCAGUACUGAAAAGGGGGGAGUAUAGAUUACUUUACAAGGUUUUAGCUUUCAGUAAGAUUGUGUGAGAAACAAGCAAACAAAACAGUAACAGACAAACUACAAAUUUUGUACAAGUGCUUUGGAAGAAAGCCAGCACAACAUCUUACCUAAAAUAGCCAAGGAUGCCUACUCGAUAUUGAAUUGCUACAAACACUAUGCUUUCAAAGACUGAUAGCGCUGAGCCAUCGUAUGUUGAAGCUGCACCCAGCAUUAAUGCACCUCCAGGCCUCCACACAACAACCUGAAGAAACACAGACAGGGUCAGUGUUGUUUAUCUGCAAAUCUAAACCCAUGGAUUUCAAAUCAGAAGUCAUUUCAUGUUGAUUGCUAAUUGAUCGCUAAAGAUACAGCUCUAUUUUGUGCUGCAUGCAGAUACUGCUAUUGUAAUCUCAAGCAACUAAGAGCAUUAGAUUAAAAAAAGUUAUAGGAAUCUUUGAAUAUUAGAAUCUUAAAGAGUAAAGUUGUUUAAAGAAGCACUAUUAAGUAUUUAUAUUACAUAUAUUCCCUGAGACUUUCAAGAGUUUUAAAAAUAGAAAAGUUGCAUUAGGAUACCUUAAAUACAUUUUAAUAAAUAUUUAAUUGUAAAAUAUUAAGGGGGUUGU
Molecule: long non-coding RNA, 1193 nt
Filed under: Apteryx owenii (little spotted kiwi)
Lineage: Eukaryota; Metazoa; Chordata; Aves; Apterygiformes; Apterygidae
Description: lncRNA (ENSAOWG00000015053.1)
Source: RNAcentral